AUUGAACGCUGGCGGCAGGCCUAACACAUGCAAGUCGAGCGGAGGAAGGGAGCUUGCUCCUGGAUUCAGCGGCGGACGGGUGAGUAAUGCCUAGGAAUCUGCCUGGUAGUGGGGGAUAACGUCCGGAAACGGGCGCUAAUACCGCAUACGUCCUGAGGGAGAAAGUGGGGGAUCUUCGGACCUCACGCUAUCAGAUGAGCCUAGGUCGGAUUAGCUAGUUGGUGGGGUAAAGGCCUACCAAGGCGACGAUCCGUAACUGGUCUGAGAGGAUGAUCAGUCACACUGGAACUGAGACACGGUCCAGACUCCUACGGGAGGCAGCAGUGGGGAAUAUUGGACGAUGGGCGAAAGCCUGAUCCAGCCAUGCCGCGUGUGUGAAGAAGGUCUUCGGAUUGUAAAGCACUUUAAGUUGGGAGGAAGGGCAGUAAGUUAAUACCUUGCUGUUUUGACGUUACCAACAGAAUAAGCACCGGCUAACUUCGUG
This 484-nucleotide ribosomal RNA is filed under the name uncultured bacterium. Its description in RNAcentral is "partial 16S ribosomal RNA". It matches the Rfam family "Bacterial small subunit ribosomal RNA", at positions 30 to 507 of the family's 1533-position model. The record is from RNAcentral.